AUGGAACCUGCAACCUCAUGGCUCCUAGUUGGAUUCAUUAACCACUGAGCCACUACGGGAACUCCGAAGAUGGGCUCUCUUUUAUCUUGUUUAAAGUCAGGCAGGUUGAACUGGGUUCCACAUAAGCUGUUGCCAUUUUAACUAUUUCUUUUUUUUCCCCCUUCAUUUCACUUUCUCCUUCAAAUCACUCCCAGGUUGAAGCAAAGUUGCAAAAACUAUACAAAAACCUUUUUCUUUUUUUCCUGAAUCAUUUGAGAAAUCGCUCCUGACAUGAUAGACCCCAUGACCGCGUACUUGCGUGUGUGUCUUUCCUACAAGCGAGGACAGUCUCCCCCCAAACCCACAGCACAGCUUUCAACAUCAGAACCUGAACUUCGACACGUUCGUCCUCAUCGAAGCCUCAGAGUCCAUUCAGCUUUGUCCAGCUAGCCCCAUUUUGUCAUUUUUAGCCCAGAGACCUUCGCCCCAAAGCCUGGGGUUCUAUUUCCUCUUUUUGUGUGACUCUUUGGUAUGUUGUGGGACACUGACAGGCUCCUCUUGGUGACAGCCGCUCAGGUUAAAAUCGGAAGUUCCUUAAAGUGUGAUUCUGGAUCAGGAUUUUGAAAACGUGUACUUCUGCUAGAACCCCCAUCUGUAAACGUGUGCGCAUGCGUGUGUGUGUGUGUGUGUGUGUGUGUGUGUGUGUGUGUGUGUGUGUCAGGGGUGGGGGAGGCUGAGGGAGAGUAUUCGUGCGUGCGGUCAAAUAGAAGAACUAAAGACAGCAAGACAGGGCUGUUUUCUCUAAUCAAAGGGAUACCUCUGGUUUCUGCAUUCUUAGCGAAACGUUUUUGUCUAUACUUUCUGGAAUCAACGGAUUUUCUUUUACUCUAAGAGAAAAGCGUACCGGGGGAAAAAAAGUUCAGUGUCCAGGUACUUGCUGGCACCAAAGACCAGGGGACAAACUUGCAUAGAAAAAAAAGGAGAGUUCGGAGCUGGAAGAAAGGUUCCAGUUCUGUUUCAUUGUGUGGGCGGUGGUCAAGGGACUGUGGGAUGGAUCCUAGGAGGACAAGAGUCUGGAAGCCACUCACGCCGGUCCCUGCUUUGUCCUCAUAGGUCACAGCUGCCUCAGGCAUGCCCACAGGGCAGGGACGAUUUCACCAGCAAAUGGCUGCCCCAGAGGCAGGGAGUCUUGGCCGCUGGAAGUGUCCACCAGUGUAUUGCUGUUGGCAGUACUGGUCUAAGGUCUGUGGUAGAUGUCAACUCAAUAGAUUGAGGCCAAGUCCGGCGUUGCUUCGUGGAAACGAAUCUGACGAGGACCCAUGAGGAUGCAGGUUGGAACCCUGGCCCUGCUCAGUGGGUUAAGGAUCUGGCGUUGCCGUGAGCUGUGGUGUAGGUUGCAGACGCAGGUCGGAUCCCGCGUUGCUGUGGCUGUGGUGUAGGCCGGUGGCUACAGCUCCAAUUCGACCCCUAGACUGGGAACCUCCAUAUGCCGCGGGAGGGGCCCAAGAAAUAGCGACAACAACAACAACAAAGACAAAAGACAAAAAAAAAAAGAAAAAGAAGGCCCAGCUCCUGAAGAAGGGGCAGCUCUGAACACUCAGCAGGAGCCCUGGGGGCUGAAGUGCCCAAGCUCUGAUCCUUCUUGCAGCCAACAAGGCGGGUGAGGGGACCCGGCCCUGCAGACAGGAGAGCCUGUUCCUCCGCCACUGGCCUGUCAGGGACGCUGGGUGGGAGGUGCUUCCCUCUUUCUCCUCAUCUGGCCAGCUUUCCCUGAUGGA
Molecule: long non-coding RNA, 1757 nt
Filed under: Sus scrofa (pig)
Lineage: Eukaryota; Metazoa; Chordata; Mammalia; Artiodactyla; Suidae
Description: lncRNA (ENSSSCG00070014297.1)
Source: RNAcentral